CCUACGGGAGGCUGCAGUGAGGAAUAUUGGUCAAUGGGCGAAAGCCUGAACCAGCCAAGUCGCGUGAGGGAAGAAGGCCCUACGUGUGGUAAACCGCUUUUGCACGGGAGUAAUACCGUCCACUUGUGCAGCACUGCGUGUACCGUGAGAAAAAGCCGCGGCUAAUUCCGUGCCAGCAGCCGCGGUAAUACGGAGGGGACGAGCGUUAUCCGGAUUCAUUGGGAUAAAAGGGAGCGUAGGCGGGGGUGCAAGUCAGCGGUAAAAUCGCGGGGCUCAACCGCGCACCGCUGUUGAAACUGGACACCUUGAGUGCACGAGAGGCAGGCGGAAUUCGUGGUGUAGCGGUGAAAUGCAUAGAUAUCACGAGGAACCCCGAUGGCGAAGGCAGCCUACCGGAGUGCAACUGACGCUGAGGCUCGAAGGCGUGGGUAUCAAACAGGAUUAGAUACCCCGGUAGUC
Molecule: ribosomal RNA, 459 nt
Filed under: uncultured bacterium
Lineage: Bacteria
Description: partial 16S ribosomal RNA
Rfam family: Bacterial small subunit ribosomal RNA
Source: RNAcentral